RNAcentral lists this transfer RNA (73 nucleotides) under Sus scrofa (pig). It matches the Rfam family "tRNA". From Rfam's summary of the family: Transfer RNA (tRNA) molecules are approximately 80 nucleotides in length. Their secondary structure includes four short double-helical elements and three loops (D, anti-codon, and T loops). Lineage: Eukaryota; Metazoa; Chordata; Mammalia; Artiodactyla; Suidae. The record is from Rfam by way of RNAcentral.
UCCCUGGUGGCCUAGUGAUGAAGAACUUAGCAUUGUCACUGCUGUGGCUCAGGUUCGACCCCUGGCCUAGGAA